This 253-nucleotide ribosomal RNA is filed under the name uncultured bacterium. RNAcentral describes it as "partial 16S ribosomal RNA". It matches the Rfam family "Bacterial small subunit ribosomal RNA", at positions 524 to 776 of the family's 1533-position model. The record is from RNAcentral.
UACAGAGGUCCCAAGCGUUGUUCGGAUUCAUUGGGCGUAAAGGGUGCGUAGGUGGCGCCGUAAGUCAGGUGUGAAAUCUCGGGGCUUAACUCCGAAACUGCAUUUGAUACUGCGGUGCUUGAGGACUGGAGAGGAGACUGGAAUUUACGGUGUAGCAGUGAAAUGCGUAGAGAUCGUAAGGAGGACCAGUGGCGAAGGCGGGUCUCUGGACAGUUCCUGACACUGAGGCACGAAGGCCAGGGGAGCAAACGGG